AUUAAACGCUGGCGGCAUGCCUUACACAUGCAAGUCGAACGGCAGCACGGGGGCAACCCUGGUGGCGAGUGGCGGACGGGUGAGUAAAGCAUCGGAACGUAUCCUGGAGUGGGGGAUAACGUAGCGAAAGUUACGCUAAUACCGCAUAUUCUGUGAGCAGGAAAGCAGGGGAUCGCAAGACCUUGCGCUCUGGGAGCGGCCGAUGUCGGAUUAGCUAGUUGGUGGGGUAAAGGCCUACCAAGGCGACGAUCCGUAGCGGGUCUGAGAGGAUGAUCCGCCACACUGGGACUGAGACACGGCCCAGACUCCUACGGGAGGCAGCAGUGGGGAGUUUUGGACAAUGGGCGAAAGCCUGAUCCAGCCAUUCCGCGUGCAGGAUGAAGGCCCUCGGGUUGUAAACUGCUUUUGUACAGAACGAAAAAGCUCUUUCUAAUACAGAGAGUCCAUGACGGUACUGUAAGAAUAAGCACCGGCUAACUACGUGCCAGCAGCCGC
Molecule: ribosomal RNA, 495 nt
Filed under: uncultured bacterium
Lineage: Bacteria
Description: bacterial SSU rRNA
Rfam family: Bacterial small subunit ribosomal RNA
Source: RNAcentral